AACGAACGCUGGCGGCAUGCCUAACACAUGCAAGUCGAACGACCCCUCCGGGGAUAGUGGCGCACGGGUGCGUAACGCGUGGGAACCUGCCCUUAGGUUCGGAAUAACUCAGAGAAAUUUGAGCUAAUACCGGAUAAUGUCUUCUGACCAAAGAUUUAUCGCCUUUGGAUGGGCCCGCGUUGGAUUAGCUAGUUGGUGGGGUAAAGGCCUACCAAGGCGACGAUCCAUAGCUGGUCUGAGAGGAUGAUCAGCCACACUGGGACUGAGACACGGCCCAGACUCCUACGCGAUGCGGCAGUGGGGAAUAUUGGACAAUGGGCGAAAGCCUGAUCCAGCUAUGCCGCGUGAGUGAUGAAGGCCUUAGGGUUGUAAAGCUCUUUUACCCGGGAUGAUAAUGACAGUACCGGGAGAAUAAGCCCCGGCUAACUCCGUG
RNAcentral lists this ribosomal RNA (433 nucleotides) under uncultured bacterium. RNAcentral's name for it is "partial 16S ribosomal RNA". It matches the Rfam family "Bacterial small subunit ribosomal RNA", at positions 29 to 507 of the family's 1533-position model. The record is from RNAcentral.